This 443-nucleotide ribosomal RNA is filed under the name uncultured bacterium. RNAcentral's name for it is "partial 16S ribosomal RNA". It matches the Rfam family "Bacterial small subunit ribosomal RNA", at positions 338 to 795 of the family's 1533-position model. The record is from RNAcentral.
CCUACGGUGGGCUGCAGUGGGGAAUAUUGGGCAAUGGGCGCAAGCCUGACCCAGCAACGCCGCGUGAAGGAAGAAGGCUCUCGGGUUGUAAACUUCUUUUAUCAGGGACGAAGCAAGUGUCGGUACCUGAUGAAUAAGCCACGGCUAACUACGUGCAAGCAGCCCCGGUAAUACGUAGGUGGGAGGCUUUAUCCGGAUUUAAUGGGUGUAAAGGGGGUGUAGGCGGGAAAGUAAGUCAGAUGUGAAAACCGUGGGCUCAACCUGUGGCCUGCAUUUGAAACUGGUUUUCUGGAGUACUGGAGAGGCAGACGGAAUGCGUAGUGUAGCGGUGAAAUGCGUAGAUAUUAGGAGGAACACCAGUGGCGAAGGCGGUCUGCUGGACAGCAACUGACGCUGAGGCGCGAAAGCGUGGGGAGCGAACAGGAUUAGAUACCCUGGUAGUC